RNAcentral lists this transfer RNA (77 nucleotides) under Arcobacter sp. RNAcentral's name for it is "tRNA-Arg". It matches the Rfam family "tRNA". Rfam says of the family: Transfer RNA (tRNA) molecules are approximately 80 nucleotides in length. RNAcentral also lists the same sequence under 1 other name. Lineage: Bacteria; Pseudomonadati; Campylobacterota; Epsilonproteobacteria; Campylobacterales; Arcobacteraceae. The record is from RNAcentral.
GCGCCUGUGGCUCAACUGGAUAGAGUAACGGACUUCGAAUCCGUUGGUUACAGGUUCGAAUCCUGUCAGGCGCACCA